This 267-nucleotide ribosomal RNA is filed under the name uncultured bacterium. Its description in RNAcentral is "partial 16S ribosomal RNA". It matches the Rfam family "Bacterial small subunit ribosomal RNA", at positions 524 to 776 of the family's 1533-position model. The record is from RNAcentral.
UACAGAGGACUGCAAGCGUUAUUCGGAAGUUCACUGGGCGUAAAGGGUUGCGCAGGCGGGCCGUGUAGUGGUGAAGGCGUGAAAGCCCGGAGCUCAACUCCGGAAUUGGCACCUCAAACUACACGGCUAGAGCAUUGGAGAGGGUAGCGGAAUUCACGGUGUAGCAGUGAAAUGCGUAGAUAUCGUGAGGAACACCAGAGGCGAAAGGCGGCUACCUGGACAAUUGACUGACGCUCGAGGCAACGGAAAGCGUGGGGAGCAAAAGGG